UUCCAGACUUUAAUGAGUGUAGAUGGUUGCUUUUGUCAUGUUUAAGGUGGUAGAAUGGGUAUUUUUAUGGAGCAUACAGAAGUGGAGAUGUGCAAAACUGCAGUACACUACUGUGCAUAUUUUCAAAACCUACUAGUCGAUGGGUUGACUGAAUGACUAGUCAAGUAAUCGGUCUUAAGGAAGCCCCGUAUAAUUAGGGCUCGGUCCUGAUCGGAUGAGUUUCUUAGGGGGCGUUAACAUAAGAUUAAUUCUUAUGUUAAAAAAAACCCUUGAUGGAAGACAGUGGAAUGGAACUCAGUGGAAAUAUUUUUAACUUGACAUAAUUCACCCAAAAAUGAUAAGAAUCUAAAUUUACUAACCCUCAUGUCAUUUGAAACCUGUAUGACUUUCUUAUGCAGAACACAAAAGGAGAUGUUUUAAUGAAUAAUUGCUUACCAUCUCAUCAGUAAAAUGGCAGUGCAUACCAUGUGACUCCAUCAUAUUCCAAGUCUUCUAAAGGCAUAUGAUAAGUUUUGGUGAGAAACAACUUGAAAUGCAGGUCAUUUUUCAUGGAAAAUCUUGAUGUUGGUUGCACACUCAUAAGUGCUAUAAGAGAAGCUCGUUCACAGUGGAGCGAGUGUUCGGAACGCAUUGUUUUUAGUGGUGUUCCUUUAAAAACACAACACUCUUGGUAAGAUGCUCAAAAAACAACAUAAGAUGUGAUGCGUGUCCGACCUUAUGUGCGUGUCUAUAGCAGUGGUGCUUUUAAGUAGGUAAUUUUAAAGAAAGGGUUUUACAAUGCAAGCUCUCUAUCAGCUAAAGCAAAGCACACUUAUUAAAUAAGUGCCACUAAUAAUAUCAUAGCUAAAGAAACACAUAGGAAAAAAUUCAGAUAAAUGAGUUGGUCUCAGUAAUCUACUCUGUAAUGAUUGCCUAUUGACUGUGUUUUGUUUAUUGUGCAGGCAUGCAUGUAUGUGUAUGUGAGAAUGAUUAAUCAGCCAACGGUUUGGUUCAUUUUCCACCUGCUCUCCCUGUCACUCAAACCUGGCUCACAUAUGUACAGAUUGUCUGUUGAAUGGUCAGGUUGGGCUGUGGCCCGGAGCAGGAACAGGAGCAGGUAGAGCUGCUCGAUAAUUAUUGAUGUCUUAUUUCUCAGCUCUUCACAUGUUGAGCACUGCUCUCUGCUCACCCAGCCAGGCAGGUGAUCACCCUUCAAUGCCUGCUAACCGUCAUGCAGAGCCAUUUGCUUUUUAAAUGCUUCUCUGACAAUUUGCCAGUUUCUCUCUCUCUCUCUGCUCGCUCUCAGUCUCUGCCAUAGUUCUCAGUCUUAUUGUUUGGGUUAUUUCGGCAUCUUCGGUCAUUAUCAUGUCAUAGAACAACAUAUGUCGCUACUUAUAAUAAAAUACAAUUUCAUAGCUAAUUUCACCUGAAUAGCUUAAAAAGUACAUCAGUACUGGUACAACUUUUGCUUGUACUUGGGAGUUAGUUUUCUUUAUUUUAUUUAAAAAAAAUUUUUGGUUAAAUCUCCAAGCCUACGUUUUAAGUAAAUAGACUUUGGGACAUAUUGAACUCAUCCCACACCGUUUGUGCAACAGUCAUAAAUGAUACCUGAAAUCAUCUGGCUUGUUGAGGAGAGCUGUUCUAUUACUUUUCUAAGUGAUCAGACUUGUGAUUUUUCUCUCUGUGGAUGAUAAAAUGGGUGAAAGAAAUUCCACAGAUUUACAUUAAAGGAGGGACCCAAGUCAUAUGUAGUCCAUAAUAAAAAUGUUAAUGUCCAAUUUCAGCAUCUCUGGCUUGUUUCCACCUAAAUUGGUGCAUAGCUAAUCCAGCUGGGGCCUUUAAUCCCCUCAUUAAAAGUACUCCUUUCUUAUCAAAGAAAUGAUACUUCCAGAAAACAAAGACACAGAGGAGGGGUAAAAAUGAGGGGGGGGGUGGUUCUCAUCUGCCAUGUCCUCCAAGCAAGAGAGAUUGUUUGGCUCAGCUUGAGUCUUUCGCUCACAGCAAUCUCGCCCAUCUGUGUGCCUACGUGGAGCUCGAUAGUGGACUGAGAUAUUGAUUGGCGUGAGCCUCACAGGUCGAUGCUCCUGACAGCCUGAAUUACAGUAAUCUGUCAUUAUCGACGGAUGUCUCUUCAGACCUUUUCCAUCUCUCUCUCUCUGUGUCUUUCUCUUCUCUGUCUCUCUGUCUGUUUUUCUUUCAGUCUGAUUCCCUUUAUUUUGAAACUAUCUCUCCCUUUUUUUCCUCUUUAAGCACUUUCGCACCCUCUUUACUCUCUGUCCUGUGCAAAUAAUUGAUGACUGUGAGGGAUGGAUGGCAGGCUAGCAGUGAUUAGAAGAUCCAUGUGCCAGACGAGCUGCUCUCCUGAAAUGAAGCAGGCUGUGGGACAGAAAGGACCCCAGGGAUGCGAGGAAGGAAGUCACAGUAUCUCCUGCUUACCUGUUGAUGGCGUCGCCACAUGCAGUCAUUGCACAGAGAAAGAGAGUGAUUGAGAAACUUUUAUUCAGCAUCGGUGGAUUACCUCCAAAAUUGGAGCCGCUCAUUGGAGAACACAGAAAAACUUGAGAGUGCCCUACUGAGACACAUCCCAGAAUGGAAAAGACAUUCAGAGCAGCCUCUAACUCUCAGUUUGCUUGACAAAACCACGCUCUUUGAUGAGUGGGCUUGCGCAAAAACAUUGUCACUCGUCGCAUCACUGAGUGGAACAUGAAUAAGACUGCCAUGUCUGAGAGAUGGACAGACGUUUUUCGUGAGCUGGAGAGCAAGACCAUCAACUUCGGAGUCUUGGCCAAAGUCGUGGAGUUUGUUUUAUGCCUGCCUGGGACAUCUGCAUCUGUGGAGCGUGUGUUCUCAUUAAUGAAUGCAGCAUCAACACCGGAUAAAUCUUGACUCAAUGUAACAGUCAUGAAGGCCAUGCUUUUCGUACGUCUUGAUUUUGGACUGAACUGCUCUGCAUUUUAUGAUAAACUCUUGAAAGACAAGCGCACUGAGAAAAAUUGCUUCCAGCGAAAAGUACAAGGUGACAACAGUUACAGAUGCGGAUGCACCCUCUACUUCGCAUUGAUCUGCGGCUAGUAGGCUCUUUAGAGAUGCCAAAGGCCUCGCCUUGAAAGUAGACGAGAGUAAACGGCUGCUGUCAGGUGAGGAGUGAAAUAAGAGCUGUCAUGUCGGACAAUUCUCACUUCUCGUGGUGGAUCAGACACCUACAAGGUCAAAGGGAGAUAUCGCAGGAUUCAUGUUCAUGCGCUGUUGCUGAUAAAGUGGAUAUAAAUUCUGUUGUUUUAAAAUGAAAAUAAAUAUGAUGAAAAUACAUUCAAUGUACCUGUUAUUUAAUGUAGCCAAUAAGAUGUGUCUUUCCAUCCAUUUGUAGUUUCAUGAAGACACGUAUUUUAGAUAAUUCAGAAAUAUGCUAAAAAUCACAUAUCCCAUACAGAGAUCAAACUGUGAGAGUGUUGGGAAUAUUCACGUAUAAUUUAUACACAUAAUUAAUUUAUACACAUAAAACAUGAUAUUAAAUAUAAAAUAAAUGAUAUAAAAUGAAAAGAAGAGAACGAAACAUCACGGUUGUUUAAUCCAAUGAGCAUUAAUCUGUGCCGUCAGCAAGUCGUUUCCCAUCAUGCUUGCAGUUUGCACAGCUGGAAAAAUUCAACUGCGCCGCCUGGCUCUUACAACUGUGUGCGCCUCGCUCUCACGAGACAUUUUUGGCAUACGUCACCAUGACAUCACAGCAAGUCAGACAGAUUUCUAACUGGCAUGCACCUGCUGCUGAUCACCGGUGAUCGGUUCUGCGCUGAACUUGCUUAUCUCGA
Myxocyprinus asiaticus (Chinese sucker) is the source of this 3785-nucleotide long non-coding RNA. RefSeq lists it as uncharacterized. The transcript has 3 exons. Lineage: Eukaryota; Metazoa; Chordata; Actinopteri; Cypriniformes; Catostomidae. The record is from RefSeq and is a predicted model, not a curated record.